RNAcentral lists this ribosomal RNA (253 nucleotides) under uncultured bacterium. RNAcentral's name for it is "partial 16S ribosomal RNA". It matches the Rfam family "Bacterial small subunit ribosomal RNA", at positions 524 to 776 of the family's 1533-position model. The record is from RNAcentral.
UACAGAGGGGGCAAGCGUUGUUCGGAAUUACUGGGCGUAAAGAGCUCGUAGGCGGCUUGUCACGUCGGGUGUGAAAGCCCGGGGCUUAACCCCGGGUCUGCAUUCGAUACGGGCGGGCUGGGAUUCGGUAGGGGAGACUGGAAUUCCUGGUGUAGCGGUGAAAUGCGCAGAUAUCAGGAGGAACACCGGUGGCGAAGGCGGGUCUCUGGGCCGAUAUCGACGCUGAGGAGCGAAAGCGUGGGGAGCGAACAGG